CACAAUUGAAAAAGACAUUAAUUGCUCAUUCUAACCCAACGGCCACAGUGGUUAUAGUCCUUUAUAGGAGGGAAAGAACCCCAACAACCCUAGAAUACAUAGUGUUCCAUUCAAGAGACGCUCAUCUAAUGUCUAACGUCUAACGUCUAACGUCUAACAUCGUUCACCACUGGGAGCUGUGGAUAUAGUGCCGAGAAAAUACAAUCACAUCUUGAAAGUUGGAAAUAAUAGAAAUUGAAAGCAUGAUCCCAAAUCUUUAUUUCAAAGCACCCAUCAGUGAGAGAAAGAAAGUAAAUUGGAAUAUGAAGACCUCUUUGAUCUUCCUUUGGAGGUAAAAUUAUAGGAAUCAAAAGAUUCAGAAGUGUCAAGCUGAAACUUGUCAAGAAAGGCUUCAGGAGAAAUAAAUGUUUCUUCUGUUUCAAGACAUACGUGAAGAAAAAUCAUAAAGGAAACCUGCGAAUGAAACCAGUGCUCCUACCACCGUGCUACGGGGUUUCUUUUUCAACUCUUCUUAAAUUCUUUGUGAUCAACAUAAAAAGCCUUUGGACUCAGAUUGGACCCAUGCCGUCAAUUCUUCUGGAUCUCCAGCUUGGUGACUGCAGAUGUUGGGAGUUCUCAGCCUCCAUAACGGCAUGACGCAAUUUCUUGCCUCAGUGUGGGGAUCACCUCCACAGGGAAGACUCCUCUGACCCACUAUCCUCCCUCCUGAGGUUAGGUAAGAAGCUGAUGACUUCGUUGGCACUGGUGUCCGGCUGCAGACGGAGGAAGCAAUUACGUUGAGAAACAGGAUGACGCCACUGAGGCUGUCCUGUGGGAGAGCUGGAGGAGGAAUCGGACUCAUUGGCAGUCACAAAGGAGGGCUACCCAUACCCGGGUCCCAGGACAUUGGAGGCAGAAAUCCAGAGUUAUGCUGCAAAUUGUGCUUCUGGGCGUUCUUAAGGCAGAUCCUCUGUUUCUGACCAGACUUGUUUUAGUUUCCUAUAUGACCAGCUGCUCAAGUGUACUGCCAUUAUCCGUCAACUCCACAUGUCCAAACUAACAAAAGUGAAUUGCUUUUAGUGUUGCUUCCAAACUGGUAGCUGGCUGACAUCCACCUGCUCUGUGUUGGUGAUUUUGUAUGCUAAUAUCCCAUAGGUAAAUGCCAUGAAACUGGUUAAAAAGCAUCUUUGUAGUUUUUUCUCCCCAUCCUUUAUGGCUUAAGGGAAGACUGGAAAAUUUAAACUUCCAGUAUGGUCAGUGCAGAGACAAAUCCAAACACUGCUGUUGCUAGUCAGAAACAGGCCUUGUAAAAAGCAUAGUUUCACAUCUUCUGAAUGUGGAUGAAUAAUGAAAGUUCUCUUUUUCAUUAUCAUAUGUCUAUAUGAUAUGGACAUCACUUGCAGCCUUCCCUAAACCCAUAAAUAACCCUUUUGACCCUAGAAGAGACUUGGAAUAUAGCUUCUCUCUACGUCAGCAUUCCUCUCUUCUGUCAUCAUUGUUGAACUAGAGAGCAAAGAUGGUGAUAUAUCACAAUACAUAGUGAUAGAGAGGAUGAGGAAUAUGAAAUCCUAAGAUAAUGCAAUGGUAACUUCAAAUAUAUUUUGUGGAUGUAUAUUUCACCUAAGCAUUUGAAGUAUGUCCUGUGAUUUUACAUUCCUUACUAACAAAGUUAUUAAAUUCAAAUAUCCUAUAUAUACCUCUUUCAAGCAUUUAUGAUUACAUCAUCAUUUCAACAAGACCAACAACUAUUGCUUAUUCUUCUUUGAAUGCACUCUGCCUUUUUGCCUUAGUCGCAGUGCAUUUAUAAACAAGUUUAGCCAUGGUUCUCAAUCCAAAGAGAUAUUAGACAGGUAACUGAGAAAAGAUAAAGAAUAGAAAUGUAUUAUUACCCGACAGUCUUUUGUUGAUGACAUGACAUCUCCAUCUUGACUCCCACUUUUAUUCCUUAAUCUUUUGUGAUACCAAAAGUCAUUACAAUUAUGGAAGCAGAUCCUAGAAUUUCUAUGCUCUUCAAUGUUAACUGCAUUGCCCCUGAUUUGAGGAGCAAUUGUAGGUCUCUUUGGAAAUGACUAAUAAAUAAGUAGUUACAAGAUAUUUUGUGUAACAGAAUUCCAAAUUUAAUAAAAGUAUGAACCUAAACUAAAAAACAUGAUGGUGGAGUUAAUGAGAUUGGAAUCGUGUGCCAUCAGAGCACCAGUCCCCCUCAAACCUGUCUUGGUAGGUCUAAUGCCAGAGCUGCAGACGACGUAGAGCAAGCACUGUCAAUAGAAGGGCAGGGUCAGGUCUGGGGGAGGCUAAGCUCCCAGCUCUCGGAGACUUGAGUUUUCUCACUUGCAGAGUAGUCUAUUAAAACACAUAUCAUUAGUGUAAAAACAACAUGCAUCUUCUUUUGAUUUAGUGACAAAUUUCUAUAAUUGUUCCUUUUACUUUGGCAAACCCACAAAGAGGGAAAUUUGACUGAAAUAGCUGGGAGAAGUGGAAAGACCAGGAAUUAAUUCCUUCAUGAGUGAUCAGAUGUGGGACAGAAAAAUCUGUCUAUGAGCCACUGAUACAUGAGAAUGGAUUCUCCAAUGGUUUUGAAGUAUAAACACAGAAGCAACUUCAUCAAUGUUUUCCUGGUACUUUAGUGCAUUGGCCUGAGUAGUUAUGAGGGCAAAUGUUGAGCACACAUUGGCUCAAAGGGGAAAAUGAGUAUUUUAAUCAAACACAUAUAAAUCUCCCACUGGUCUCUACGGAGGUAUAUUUUGCCAUAGCUCCACAAGUAGUUAGGGGUGAAUCUAUCUGCUAGACGCUGUUCAGUGUGCUCAGGGAAAAUGUCUCUCCUCAUGGAAUUUACACUCUAGUGACUGAGACAGAUAAAAUCCAAUAGUCAAAGAGACAUACAUAUGCUGUCCAUUGUGUUGAGUUCCAGGAAAAAAGUAAACACAGCCAAGGCAGCAAGGGUAAGAGGAGAUGCUAUUUAGAUAGGGAAGGGAGGAAAAGUCUCUUUCUGGAGCUGACUUUAAGCGGAGACCUGAAUGGGAGAGUGGGCCAUGUGUAUAUCUCGGGGAAAAGAGGGAAAUUUGACUGAAAUAGCUGGGAGAAGUGGAAAGACCAGGAAUUAAUUCCUUCAUGAGUGAUCAGAUGUGGGACAGAAAAUCUGUCUAUGAGCCACUGAUACAUGAGAAUGGAUUUUCCAAUGGUUUUGAAGUAUAAACACAGAAGCAACUUCAUCAAUGUUUUGGGAAAAGAUCUUGCACUUCAUGCAAGUGGAGCGGUGAGUUCAAAAGCUCUCAGGCGGGAGUGUGGUUGGUGACUGGGAACAAGUGUGAGGAGAGCAUGGUCAGCAGGUGCUGAAGUGACGAAACAUCACUUUAUUAGUGUGACAGGGUCUAGAUGGUUAUAGGGUCUUAGGGGUCAGAGUGAGAACGUCGGUCAAAAUGGGAUGGGAAACCAGCUGAUAGUCCAUGGGGGGUUUUAAACAGGGGUGACAAGAUCUAUGGGAUCACUGUCACUGCUGGGUGGACAAUAGGCUGUAGAGAAGAAAGAGUGAAGCAAAGAACCAGUUAUGAGGAAAUUGUAAUAGUCCAAGCAAGAGGCUGUCAUGCUUGGGCAACCUCCCUCAAUUACCGGCCUUAAUGACAGCAGGUUUUGACAAUCCUCCGCAGAGAGGUGAGCACAUUACAGAAAGUUUUCACAUGCAGUCUUGGAAGCAUUUGGGGAUCUGGGUGUCAGUACAGACUGGUUCUACCACCAAACAUUAAUGUCCUCUUGGACAGAAAAUUUAAACUUCCUGUAAUGCAACUUCCCAUUUUAACUUUCAGGGUUUGAAAUAAAUUAUCACAACCACCUGCACCUCUAACUGUCCAUGUUUCUCUGCGGACAAAUAUAAAGGAAGUAGCACAUGGAGAAUGUGUGAGCAUCAGGAAUCUAAUACAGCAUUGGAGUGUCUUACGUCAACGAAUUCGAAAGGAAACAUUAAUAAACCAUUAUUGCAUUGUAGAGUAAGAAGGUUAGAAGACUUUUUUGUUAGCUUUAUUUUUUUGCAAUGGAUAACAAAUGUGCAAAACCGACAAUUUUUUUAAUCUAUCCCUAGGAGCUUUUUCAUGAUUUUUGUGUGAUUGCAAUUAUGCAAUCCAAAGUCUCCAACUGAAUUAAACAUCUCAUAACCAUUUUAAUGAUUCAGGAUAGAAAGGAAAAAGUGCAGAGUUUAAAUUCUGUUUCAUUAUGAUGAUGCUUGAGAAUUUCAUUGACCUUGCUGGACCUUUUGGAAUUUGAGUUCAUUUAUAAUCAAACUAGAAAAAAAUGUUUUGAAAUGCUAUUUAGAAGCUAAAAAGAAUUAUUGGACCCUGAAUAACUUUCAUUACAUGACAUUUUGAUAAGGUCAUUGUAAAUGAGUCAGAAACAUGGAUUACCUUUCCUUUAAAAAUACACGUCGCUUCACAACAGAUUUGGUCCAAAUUCAUCUUGGCUUUUGCUGAAUCCCAAGUGCUUUCCUUCUAAUUCUUUUUCUCUUUAAAUUCUCCAAUAACCUUGCUAAACCCGUAAUCUAGGUGAGCUCACCCACCUCACUUCCCCACUGAGGCUAGCCUCAGGCUUUUCUCUAAUAGCGUGUACUCUUGGAGCAGAGAGUUGUACGCAGAGAAUCAGCGGAAGCACGAAGUCUAAUAAAGCAUGGGAAUCGUUUUCUUCCUUUUAAACAGGGAGAACUCUAAGGGAAUGAUCCUGUUCCAGAGUACUGACUCAAAUCUGCUCUGUGUUUGAACUCUGUGAUUAUGAAAUUUCAAUUAAAGCUAUAAAAAGCAAAGCUCACAGACACCAGAGCAUGCCAAAGAAAAACAGGAUGUUCUCUUUUGAUUGGGAAAUAAUUAUCUAAGCUCAGUGGCUGGGUCCAGGUAGCUGAGUUUACCUUUGCUCACCUCAUUAUAGAAACAGUUGAAUUAUGGUAAAUUUUCCCCAAGCAGCAAAGCUGUCAUUCAAAAGGGUGAUUUUAUUGGGGUGCAAAUCCCUUUAGUUAUUGCUUCAGUCCAUUUUUAAAAUGGAUUUGAGGCCUGAGGGGGAAGUACAAAUUAAGACAGAUUUUCCCUUUUGUGCGAUGAACCUGCCUGUUCCGAGCCAGCCCACUGUCGUCCCUGCAGGGCGGGCACCUGCCGGGAGAGUCCUCUGUUAUUCUCUGCAGAGGUGAGCUGUAAACACAGCCAGCUCUCUUUCUCAAAAGUCAUUACCCUGAUUGGAUCAUGUCUUCCACAACAGAAUAAAUUUCCCUACACUUUAUUACUUAGUGUUUGAAACGUGUGAAGCUCAGUUUUGAGGUGAGGUAGAAAGGCAUUCAAAAAUUUCAGGAUUGCAGAAAUGUAGUAACAUUAAUGCUUUUCCAUCCCUUUACCUUGGGGGUGGAGAGGAAGGAGAGCAGAACUUUCUAAAAUUCGAGAAAUUGACUCUUUUUUCUAAUUUUUGAAUUUGAGUUCUCUUCAUGACUGCAGUUUAUUGUGAGAGAUUCUGCUGAAGAUAUAAUAUGCAUACACAUUCUGUUUAA
This 5494-nucleotide long non-coding RNA is filed under the name Equus caballus (horse). RNAcentral describes it as "lncRNA (ENSECAG00000058670.1)". Lineage: Eukaryota; Metazoa; Chordata; Mammalia; Perissodactyla; Equidae. The record is from RNAcentral.